CACAAUAAAAUAUGAAGGCUGUACGCGGCUGUGCUCUCGGGCCAGUUUUGCGGAGGCUGAAUUAUUUAUUACCCUUGUCUUUUGCGCACUUGUUGUUUCCUGGGCGGGUUCGCCCGCCACCAGGACCACAUCAUAAACCUUUUUUAUGCGGUUGCAAUCAGCGUCAGUAUAACAAAUGUAAAUCAUUUA
Molecule: unclassified non-coding RNA, 189 nt
Filed under: soil metagenome
Description: partial internal transcribed spacer 1
Source: RNAcentral